GGGAGAGCGGGGUCUGAGAGAAAGGAGCUGAAGGCUCCUCAGGCCGCAGAGACUGCGCCAGGCUCAUGAAACGCAGCCUGAGCCUGAGCUGCAAAUAGCUGGAAGCUUGGAUAGCCGUUCUGAACCUUAAUUUUCCCUGGUAGCUGGGACUGGAGGUGGAAUUAGGUGGGUCUGUGCUCCAGCUAGUGGUGGAUCUAUUCCAGUCCCGUGCAGUGGCUCUGCUAGUGCAGCAGAGGUGCCUCUGCACUGGGCCUUCUCUUCAGGAAAAAGGCAUGGCCAGAAAGGUUAGGCUUGCAGAUAGGUUCACAUAACAAAAACUGUGUUUCUAGACAGAAUCCCAGUGAAAAUUGCCCAUGGGAUGAAAGUGGUCUGCUUCCAUGGGCUCUGCUGAAGAACAGUAGCCUGGCAGUGUUUGCCUGUGUGAAAGGAAUGUUUAAGGGGCCAGGGUUUAGCCCCAGGAGGCCCCUAAGCCUCACACAGCCACUGAGUUGCUUUUCUCCCUGCAGCGAGAGGAGGGAGAGAAUCCAAAGGAUAAAAAUGAGGAAACUUGUGGGUCAAGCUACAGAUAAGGAAAAAUAAGGAAUUCAUUCACUGCUUCCCGUUGUCAGGCAGGUGUUUAGCCACCUUCUGGAAAGCAAGCCUCCACCACUUGCAGUGGUUACUUGGGAAGACAAACAACUUCACUUCAAAUGUUUCCCUCCUUCCAGGUGUUAUUGCUGGAAUAUCCCCUGGGUCAGCUGGGAUCAGCUGUCACGACUCACUGUGUAACCCCAGCCUGGUGGGGUGGGGUGAGAAAAGGCCUUGACACUGCAAGAACUGCACAGCAACAGCUGAAACAUGCUGGCGUUACUAGCACUGUUUUGGUCACAAAUCCAAAACACAGCACCACAUGAGCUACUAUGAAGAAAAUUAACUAUCCCAGCCAAAACCAUCACAGGUGGUUUCACUUGGAAGUUUAUUUUCCAGUUACAUUUCAGUACUUCCUGUUUUUCCAUAUACCAGGUGUGCUGCCUUUGCAGGACAGUAGCUGCAACAGCUUAAAAAACUAGCUGCUGUCACAUCUUCAGACAAAACAGAACAAACAAGCAGCAGUCAGACACCAGGUGGUGCUGAAGACCAGCCAGAAAAGAAAGGGACACUUGAGUGCAAGGAGUGUUCAGAAGGAGCAACAAGCAAUCAUUAGCUGCAGGAUACUCGGUGUCUGAUUGCAGUGAGUUAGGAGCAACGUAGAGUUACAUUAUCAGUAUGGCAAAAUUAGGAAUAAAACCAUUUUCAGGUGUGCAAAAUAGUACAAAAAUAUAUAAUGAUUGAGAAAUAAUGUCUGUUCUCACAGUCUAGCUUAAAGAUCUGUUUUUAAAAGAACCUUAACAGCUACAGAGCAAAAACACUUCUGUGUAAAGAUGUAAUGUUAAUCUGGGAGGAUGUGUACAUCAGUUCUUACUUAGCAAUGAGCAAUGCAAACAAAAUAUUUGAAACUUUUAAUGGAAGUUAAGGAGCAUACAGCCAAAAAUUAGUUUGGCCAGGCAUCGUGCAUAGUUUGGGCUUUUGGUGGUUCUGGGGUUGGCUGAGCAGAGUUUGGGAAGUCCCUCUGGCAAAGAGUGAGCAGCCGUUGGGCAGAGCACCUUCCCCAGCCAGAGGGCGCUUCCUGAGGUGUGACAUACAGCCUAGGUCUGCUUGCCACCCACCAUCCUGCUCCUCAUCAAGUACCAAAAACAAUGACAGUUUGAAGCCAGCUGUUGAAGGAGAAAGGAGGGAGCAGGUUGUUCAUCCCUUUUUUUUUUCCCCAAAAAAAGAAAUGUCACAGCUGCUACAGAAUGGUUGAUCUGUUGAUGGUGACAUGGAAAGAGUGUUUUUCAUCUAGGUCUUAAGAGUCAGUAUGCUAUAAAUAAGACAUUCACAGGUGGAAUAUAGGACAGGGAAUAGAGAAGCAAGGAAUGCCUGUUGCUGUCAUUGUUGUUCAGUGUGUUCCUUGGGGAAGAUUCAGUCACCCAAAAGACCAGUAUUCUUCUGCAGACUAACUGUAUUUGCACGUUUGAGAAAGUGCUGCUGCCUUGCCUCCCACAGAUACAGCACAUUUCAGGUGACUCAGUUUACCCUUAACUUGCUCUAGCCUUGGUGUUGGUGUCCUGGUCUGGAGAACAGGUUAUUUCCAGGCUAGCAUUGAGUGCUGUGCACAUACCGUAUGCACUGGACCGUGCCGUGUUAGACACUUUGAAACAAUUUAUGCAGGCGUAGGUUGAUGUUUGGGUGUGACAUCAAACAGUUCUUGUGAACUUUCUUGCUUGACGUUGUAAGAUUAAUAGUUAAAAUUACUUAUUCCUGAGGUACCAGCAGAGGGCACCGAGCUCCUCGAGUCUCCCUGUGGCUUUCAAAAGCCAGCACUUUCUGUGUUUGAACGAGGAACACGAAGGUGGCUGCAGUGGUUCUUUCGAGGACUUGUUUGAUAAAGCAACUGCAAUCUAUUAUAUCACUUUCCCUCUUUUCUGCAUGUCGGUUUUUUUUAUCUAGAAGCAUUCAGGUGCCUGGAUCCUUACCCUGGUUUUUGCUUACCAAUUUAAAUCCUUUUCCUGUCAGAGCAGACUCUACAAUCAAAAAGUCAGUUUUUCAAGAUGCUGUUUAUCCCUUGCACAUUGGGUGUGGUGACUUCCUUGGUUCUGAACUCAAGACAUGUUGUUUCUGGUGGUGGAGUGCUGCAUUUAUGUUCUCCCUUGACUUAAACCAUAAAAAAUCCCACACACCAAACCCUCCACACUCACUUGGAACUUUUAACUAAUUACAAACUGAACAAUUUUGCAAAUUACUGCUGAUGGAUGUCAUAUAUUCAUAUUGUAAGUAGCUAAGUCGUUUCAGUUACUAGUUCUACACAAAGUGGUUACACAACAUAUUUUGCCCCAAGGAAGAACAUGUGUUGUCCUCCUCUGUACUGAUAUAGGUCAACAACCCUAUUACUGUUCUGUUUUAUUGUAACAAUAUUUUCCCAUGUGUUCAUAGAGUAAUAAUGACUGUAAUAAUAAAAUAAAAACAUCCCUCAGGGUGUUCUACGAAACAGACAUUUCUGACUCCAUCUAGUAAAUGUGUUUUCUUAAAAAAAAGAAAAAAAAACAGAGAUCAAACAGAUCAUUUGCUAAACUGAGACAACAGGAUUUACUUAAGUGAAAGUAAUUGUGAAAGAGGCUAACUAUAUAUGCAAUCAUGAUUCAUAUAGUAUUUUUCCACUUCAUGUUAUAGUUGUUUACCUGGAAAAAGAUUUUAUGCCAUAAACUUGUAAGUUAUUAUAUGUAGAACAGAGCAAACUAUACUUGUAUUUUUCAAUUUACUCAUUGAAUUAAUUCAUUCCUUGCUUGUUGCUUUAAUGUUCAUGGCAAAUUUACUUAGGACAGAAUAUAUGUCUAGUACAGUGUUCCUUUAUGACUGGUUUACUUGCAGUAUGCGUGAAGCUUUUGUGGGCAGGGCAUUUUUAUCUGGAUAAAAAUGUUAACUUCUUUAACUUUAGUCAUAUUUUAUGCCAUUAGUACUCAGAUUUUAAUGGCAUCAGAAGGAAAAAAAAACACCCUAAAAAAAGUGCAAUGAAAACAUACUUUUAGAUUUAAGUGAAAGUUAAUACUGUGGUUGCUUAUGGUUAAGUUCUCUAAUACUAAUGUAGGCUUCUACAUUUAAAAAUGCAGAGCAUGCACUGAAUAUUUUAAAAAUUAAAAGAAAAUGAAAGGAGCUCAACAUUUUUUAGUUCAUGCCUAUUUGUUUGAUGUCAACAAAUAAUUAAGCAUGUAACUUCUGAGACAAUAAAUUACUUUUCCAGGUCUGAAAACGAAAUAAAGAUUUUAAAAGAGAAUUGUUUUAUUCUUUAUGUGUAUACAACACCAAAAGGGACGCUGAAGCAAAAUUUUGAGUGCUCUAGUGUCUUUGAAAAAUAAAAAUGUCAUUUACAGUGUUCCUCCUAAAGAGACCUUUGAGAGGAACUCAGCAACAGAAUUACCAGUCUUCACUCUUCAAGGCAUUAGGGGGCAUGAGGACUUCACAGGCUUUAAAUAAGUUAAAGUACAGUUAUUUUUCUUUCCAAAGUAAACAGGAAGCAGCAUAAAGUAGCAAAAUCAACUUCUGGAGUCAUUCCCUAGUGCAAGAUUAUGAUAUGGCUCUUAAUAAAAUUUCCAACAGAAGACAACCCAGACUUGUAUUAGAACAUUGACUACACCCUUCUUUCUGUAAGAGUAAUAAAACUAAUGGAUGUAAUGUAA
Apus apus (common swift) is the source of this 4232-nucleotide long non-coding RNA. RefSeq lists it as uncharacterized. Lineage: Eukaryota; Metazoa; Chordata; Aves; Apodiformes; Apodidae. The record is from RefSeq and is a predicted model, not a curated record. The transcript is spliced from 2 exons.